AUUGAACGCUGGCGGCAGGCCUAACACAUGCAAGUCGAGCGGGGUUUUCGGACCUAGCGGCGGACGGAUGAGUAAUGCGUAGGAAGCUGCCCGAUAGAGGGGGAUACCAGUUGGAAACGACUGUUAAUACCGCAUAAUGUCUACGGACCAAAGUGUGGGACCUUCGGGCCACAUGCUAUCGGAUGCGCCUACGUGGGAUU
Molecule: ribosomal RNA, 200 nt
Filed under: uncultured bacterium
Lineage: Bacteria
Description: partial 16S ribosomal RNA
Rfam family: Bacterial small subunit ribosomal RNA
Source: RNAcentral